RNAcentral lists this ribosomal RNA (222 nucleotides) under Streptococcus agalactiae GB00013. Its description in RNAcentral is "partial 16S ribosomal RNA". It matches the Rfam family "Bacterial small subunit ribosomal RNA", at positions 1 to 213 of the family's 1533-position model. The record is from RNAcentral. Lineage: Bacteria; Bacillati; Bacillota; Bacilli; Lactobacillales; Streptococcaceae.
UUUUAAUGAGAGUUUGAUCCUGGCUCAGGACGAACGCUGGCGGCGUGCCUAAUACAUGCAAGUAGAACGCUGAGGUUUGGUGUUUACACUAGCCUGAUGAGUUGCGAACGGGUGAGUAACGCGUAGGUAACCUGCCUCAUAGCGGGGGAUAACUAUUGGAAACGAUAGCUAAUACCGCAUAAGAGUAAUUAACACAUGUUAGUUAUUUAAAAGGAGCAAUUG